UUCCAGACUCCUACGGGAGGCAGCAGUGGGGAAUAUUGCACAAUGGGGGAAACCCUGAUGCAGCGACGCCGCGUGAGCGAUGAAGUAUUUCGGUAUGUAAAGCUCUAUCAGCAGGGAAGAAGAUGACGGUACCUGACUAAGAAGCCCCGGCUAACUACGUGCCAGCAGCCGCGGUAAUACGUAGGGGGCAAGCGUUAUCCGGAUUUACUGGGUGUAAAGGGAGCGUAGACGGCGAUGCAAGCCAGAUGUGAAAGCCCGGGGCUCAACCCCGGGACUGCAUUUGGAACUGUGUGGCUGGAGUGUCGGAGAGGCAGGCGGAAUUCCUAGUGUAGCGGUGAAAUGCGUAGAUAUUAGGAGGAACACCAGUGGCGAAGGCGGCCUGCUGGACGAUGACUGACGUUGAGGCUCGAAAGCGUGGGGAGCAAACAGGAUUAGAUACCCCAGUAGAU
This 449-nucleotide ribosomal RNA is filed under the name uncultured bacterium. Its description in RNAcentral is "bacterial SSU rRNA". It matches the Rfam family "Bacterial small subunit ribosomal RNA", at positions 329 to 795 of the family's 1533-position model. The record is from RNAcentral.